GAUGAACGCUGGCGGCGUGCCUAAUACAUGCAAGUCGAGCGAACAGAUGAGGAGCUUGCUCCUCUGACGUUAGCGGCGGACGGGUGAGUAACACGUGGAUAACCUACCUAUAAGACUGGGAUAACUUCGGGAAACCGGAGCUAAUACCGGAUAAUAUAUUGAACCGCAUGGUUCAAUAGUGAAAGACGGUUUUGCUGUCACUUAUAGAUGGAUCCGCGCCGCAUUAGCUAGUUGGUAAGGUAACGGCUUACCAAGGCAACGAUGCGUAGCCGACCUGAGAGGGUGAUCGGCCACACUGGAACUGAGACACGGUCCAGACGCCUACGGGAGGCAGCAGUAGGGAAUCUUCCGCAAUGGGCGAAAGCCUGACGGAGCAACGCCGCGUGAGUGAUGAAGGUCUUCGGAUCGUAAAACGCUGUUAUUAGGGAAGAACAAAUGUGUAAGUAACUAUGCACGUCUUGACGGUACCUAAUCAGAAAGCCACGGCUAACUACGUG
This 497-nucleotide ribosomal RNA is filed under the name uncultured bacterium. RNAcentral describes it as "partial 16S ribosomal RNA". It matches the Rfam family "Bacterial small subunit ribosomal RNA", at positions 28 to 507 of the family's 1533-position model. The record is from RNAcentral.